Trichonephila clavipes is the source of this 81-nucleotide non-coding RNA. Lineage: Eukaryota; Metazoa; Arthropoda; Arachnida; Araneae; Nephilidae. The record is from the annotation of a GenBank genome assembly.
GUCCCUGCAGCGCAAUGAAUAAUGUGUGUGUGCGUUGGACUUCUGAUCCAAAGGUCGCGGGUUUGAAUCCCACCUGGGAUG